Molecule: non-coding RNA, 78 nt
Organism: Ceratotherium simum simum (southern white rhinoceros)
Lineage: Eukaryota; Metazoa; Chordata; Mammalia; Perissodactyla; Rhinocerotidae
Source: RefSeq, a predicted model, not a curated record
CCCGGGAGGGGAAAUGCAGCCAGCAGAGGUGGGAUCUGGACCCGAGUCAGGGCUCCCUUGCAGUCAGCAGCCUCUGUA